AUGGAGCCCCGCCGGCGAGAUCCUGGGGAGCCAGCCCCUGUAUAUGGUGAUUUUGAUGGCCAAUUCACAGUAGAGAUUCAUCACAAAGGAUUCUUCUCUAGAACUGACAACAAUAGGAGCUACAUUGACUAUGAAGUUGAUUGGUUCGAUCAUUGUGACUGUGACACUUGGUCUAUACUGUGGAUUGAAGACUUUGUGAAGCAGCUGGGCUAUGACCGAGAGACAUGGCAGCAUGAUGUAUACUGGUGUCUACCUGGAAGGACAAUUAAUGAAGGAAUGAGAGAGAUGAAGUGUGAUGCUGAUAGCCUUGCAAUGAUAGCAGCUAGCACAGUACAUAAGAAUCUGUUGCUGCUCGUAGACCAUGGGGAGACAGUGAACAACCUUCUUACAGAUGAUGUUACAGUUGAUGCACUGCCUGAGUUGCCAAAGGUCAUAACCCCCAAAAAAGAUGGAAAGGGCAAAGAACAAGCUAGCUCAACUAAAGUGAGAAGUAGAGCAAGGAGAUUGUUUACUGAAGAAGAAAUGGAGGAAGAAGGUGAAAAUGGUGCAGCGGAUUCAGAAACAGAUGAGGAAUUCUAUGACAGUGACUAUGAUAUUAUGGAUGGGGAUGAUGAUUUGUAUGAGGAACAUGUUGACAAAGAGGUGGAUGAUCAUAGAGAAAAAGUUUAUACAUGUGACUAUGAAACAGAACUAGCAGAAGAUGCUCUAGAUGAUCCUACCAUAAUGCUAUCCAAAGAAGAGAGGGACAAGCUCAAGUACAACUUCAAGGGUUUCAACCCAGAAACUGAUUUGAAUGCCCCUGUAUUCAGAUUAGGUAUGGUGUUUGGUACUGUUGAGGAGCUAAGGCAUGCUAUUACCUCUUAUAGCAUCAGAAACAGAGUUGCAAUUAAAAAGACUAGGAACACAUCAACUACAGUAGAAGCAGAAUGCAUUGAUGAUUGCCCAUGGUACUUGAAAGCAGGGAUGGACAACAGGAAAAAUAGCUUUGUGAUCAAGAAAUACUGUGAUGAGCACACGUGUCCUAAGACAUGGAAGCUGAAGGGUCUAACUGCUCCAUUUUUAACCAAAAAAUUCAGAGAUGAGUUCAGGGGCAACGAAAAGAUGCCAUUGCAGAAAUUCGAGGAGAAGGUUCAGCAGGAGUACAAUCUAAUUCCAAGUAGGAGCAAAUUGGGAAGGGCUAGAAGAGCAUCAGUAAAGCAGAUCAGAGGUGAGGAUGAUGACCAAUAUAAGAUGUUAUGGGAUUAUGGAGAGGAGUUGAGGCAAACAAACCCUGGCAGCAAGUUCUACCUUUGCACAAAGGAGAUUUUUGAUGAAAAGACCAAGGAGACAAAGGAACAUUUUUCAACUUUGUACUGGUCAUUGGAUGCAUGCAAGAGAGGCUGGUUGAUGGGGUGUAGGCCAACAAUAUUUGUAGAUGGAUGUCACAUUAAGACCAGGUACAAAGGGAAUUUACUGACAGCUGUGGGUAUUGACCCCAAUGAUUGUAUUUUCCCCAUAGCAUUUGGGAUUGUGGAAGUGGAGUCCACUAGCAGCUGGGAGUGGUUUUUGGCUAGCCUAAAGGAUGAUCUCAAUAUAUGCAACACCUCUCCAUACACAAUCAUGAGUGAUAAGCAGAAGGGUCUUAUAGCUACAGUUGCAAAGGUGUGGCCAGACGCUGAACACAGGUUUUGUGUCAGGCAUAUGUAUCAAAAUUUCCACAAGCUUCACAAGGGGGAACAACUAAAGAACAAUAUGUGGGCCAUUGCAAGGCUACGGACACUCCAACAUACAACAAAGCAAUGGAGAAGAUGA
Molecule: ribosomal RNA, 1791 nt
Filed under: Triticum aestivum (bread wheat)
Lineage: Eukaryota; Viridiplantae; Streptophyta; Magnoliopsida; Poales; Poaceae
Description: partial small subunit ribosomal RNA
Source: RNAcentral